Molecule: small nucleolar RNA, 101 nt
Organism: Callithrix jacchus (white-tufted-ear marmoset)
Lineage: Eukaryota; Metazoa; Chordata; Mammalia; Primates; Cebidae
Source: Ensembl
ACUAUUUUGGCUCCCAAGCACAACAGUGGGUGUUGGUGAGUGUGUGUGAGAUGUGCCUGCCUCAAACCUUCUUACAAGGUUAGCAUGUUACUCACCUGAUG